ACUCUGAACUUCAGUGUAUAACUGAAGGAAACGGGAUUUGUGAAUUGGUUGUUCACGGCCAAGGGUUCGAAGGUUAGAAAAGGAAAAUUGUCUCGCGAUUUUAAUUGUUAGAAGCAGCCAACGCUAGCGCUUUGAUCUUUGGACGAACAAAUUUCAUGUGUGAAUCGCGAAUCUAGAAAGAGCUGCAUCCAGCAGAAAAAGCUGCUUUACAACUGUUAUAAAUUUUUAUGAAUCUGAUUGGCGUAUACUUGUCACGUCAUUGUCCAUCUAGAUUUUCAUCGUGAUCGAUGAUUAGUUCAUCUAAUAAGGACAAAACUAAAGAUAUCGGUAGUGAAUAUUUACUUUCAGCGUGUGAUGCUCUCUAUCGUAGCAAAGCAAAAUGUUUUAUCAUCAAAGUGUUAUCAGAUGCGUCUAUCAUUGUCCAUUUAUAAUAGUGAAGAAAGAACUUCUAUUUCCAAAUAUAUUUUCCUCAUUCUCUUAACUCUCCACUUGCGUUUGUCAGAAAUUAAUUGUUGCAUCAAGUUACAAUACCCUGCCAAAGUUCAGCGUUGCGUUACCUCGUAAUUCGCGCUUAUCUACCGGCAUUCAUCUAUUUAGCCGGUACGAACGUGAUAAUAAUUUUCGCGCGCGCUAACGAGCGCGAUUGCGCGUCGGAAAAGUCAUCGGAGCGUGUUGCUGACGUAUCGCGCGGAUAUUUCCUCGACGAAGGAGACCGUCGGCGACAGGUGUGCCAGGCUUGAAAAGUCGCCUGUCGUUUCCUCCGCGACCACGCGGUCACGUCCUUGCGUUUACGUAAGCACCGCGCGACUGACGCAAAAACCAUCGUCCCAUUCCUCUCGGCGAGUCGCCGCCCUUUUCGCUGCGCAAAACGUCUUCAUCGGGAGCGGUUUUCAAUCCUUGAAGAGGAUCGAGACCGAAAAAUGUACCGCGCGUAAUGUGUGAGUAGAUAAGACACAUGGGACGAACAAUGGUCGCUUUCACCGAAAACCGCGACACUCGCGAAGGAAUGGAUUUUCAGAGAAACAGAACAGACGAGAGGUCUUUGCCCGUCGCUGUUGCUGCCCUUCUCGCACAAUUUGUGUUCUACGUCUCGCUCUUUGCCUGCCUUUUUGCAAUUUCAUACUCCGAGAGAAAAUGGAAGAGGAGAGACUCAUUUCAUGACGGUAACGGUUUGCUGGUGGCAAACGCACCGAUGACGACAAGACGACACUUGCGUCGCGCUCGUGUCAUUAUGUCGCUCGCUGGCCUGAAAACCCUUUUGGCGUGUCGGCAUGUUUAGCGUUAGAAAAUUCGCGCCGAAAUCAUGUAUUACUUUUCGACAAGAAAAUCGAUCCUGAAUGCUAUUCAUAUAAACGGCUCUCAAUGGAGCCUCGACCUUACAAAAACCGUUCGAAGGAAACGUUUGUUUUUCGUUUCGUUUUAAAUUGUAAUUACUUAAUUUUAAGACAUCGUUCACCCAAUAAAUGAUAAAUUUUGACAUG
Long non-coding RNA from Vollenhovia emeryi, 1481 nucleotides. RefSeq lists it as uncharacterized. NCBI's taxonomy places the organism in Eukaryota, Metazoa, Arthropoda, Insecta, Hymenoptera, Formicidae. The transcript has 2 exons. The record is from RefSeq and is a predicted model, not a curated record.